RNAcentral lists this long non-coding RNA (557 nucleotides) under Papio anubis (olive baboon). Its description in RNAcentral is "lncRNA (ENSPANG00000043404.1)". The record is from RNAcentral. Lineage: Eukaryota; Metazoa; Chordata; Mammalia; Primates; Cercopithecidae.
UGCUACUUAUCCAUACCCCUUGUUUGCAAAAAAAACAGGGUUUAUCUCUUUCCUUUGCAGAUCUCAACUGAGAGUCUCCCAUUGUCAGAUUUUGACCUAGGAUCAUCUCAGAAAGGGAUUCUUCUAUGAUUCAGAGAAGUCCCCAGGUAUGAAGAGUCACAGCUCCAGCUUCCUUCUGCUCCCCGGUGUGCAAGACUCUCAUCCCUGGGAAACAUUUAUGAAACAGUCUGAAAACUGCUAGAGUGCAGAACUAUCCCAUGGCAAUGGUAUUCCCUGGAUCUGCCACUGAAACAUUCCUUGUUCUCUAGAUUUUCCAGGUUUCAUCAAUGCACCUACAUAUUUAAGAUAAAAUCACAGCUGAUAGCUUGGAAGCUGCACUCCUCUCUCUUUCCCUUCUACCCCACAUCUGGAGAAGCUGAUGAGAAAGCCUGAGUGCUUCCUGGUCCCUGCAUGAAGUUCAAACCCCACAGGCCCUGAAUAAGAGCUGGAAUAAUCUCCUCAGUCUAUCCUAAGACACUAGAGGCCUAGAGAGUCAUCAAGUCUCUAAUUUCAAAAUC